AGAAUCAACGCUGGCGGCGUGCCUAACACAUGCAAGUCGCACGAGAAAGUGGAGCAAUCCACGAGUAAAGUGGCGCACGGGUGAGUAACACGUGACUAACCUACCCUUGAGUGGGGAAUAACUGAGGGAAACCUUAGCUAAUACCGCAUAAUACCUACGGGUCAAAGGAGCAAUUCGCUUAAGGAGGGGGUCGCGGCAGAUUAGCUAGUUGGCGGGGUAAUGGCCCACCAAGGCAGUGAUCUGUA
Molecule: ribosomal RNA, 245 nt
Filed under: uncultured bacterium
Lineage: Bacteria
Description: partial small subunit ribosomal RNA
Rfam family: Bacterial small subunit ribosomal RNA
Source: RNAcentral